Molecule: ribosomal RNA, 253 nt
Filed under: uncultured bacterium
Lineage: Bacteria
Description: partial 16S ribosomal RNA
Rfam family: Bacterial small subunit ribosomal RNA
Source: RNAcentral
UACGUAGGGUGCGAGCGUUAAUCGGAAUUACUGGGCGGAAAGCGUGCGCAGGCGGUUUUGUAAGACAGAUGUGAAAUCCCCGGGCUUAACCUGGGAACUGCAUUUGGGACUGCAAGACUAGAGUGCGGCAGAGGGGGGUAGAAUUCCACGUGUAGCGGUGAAACGCGUAGAUAUGUGGAGGAAUACCGGUGGCGAAGGCAGCGCCCUGGGUCGACACUGACGCUCAUGCGCGAAAGCGUGGGGAGCAAACAGG